This 1503-nucleotide ribosomal RNA is filed under the name uncultured Bordetella sp. Its description in RNAcentral is "partial 16S-23S ribosomal RNA intergenic spacer". It matches the Rfam family "Bacterial small subunit ribosomal RNA". The record is from RNAcentral. Lineage: Bacteria; Pseudomonadati; Pseudomonadota; Betaproteobacteria; Burkholderiales; Alcaligenaceae.
GGUUUGAUUCUGGCUCAGAUUGAACGCUGGCGGGAUGCUUUACACAUGCAAGUCGAACGGCAGCACGGACUUCGGUCUGGUGGCGAAAGUGGCGAACGGGUGAGUAAUGUAUCGGAACGUGCCUAGUAGCGGGGGAUAACUACGCGAAAGCGUAGCUAAUACCGCAUACGCCCUUCGGGGAAAGCGGGGGACCUUCGGGCCUCGCACUAUUAGAGCGGCCGAUAUCGGAUUGAAAGCUGGUUGGUACCCAGGGUAACGGCUCACCAAGGCGACGAUCCGUAGCUGGUUUGAGGACGACCAGCCACACUGGGACUGAGAGACACGGCCAGACUCCUACGGGGAGAGGCAGCAGUGGGAAUUUUGGACAAUGGGGAAACCUGAUCCAGCCAUCCCGCGUGUGCGAUGAAGGCCCCUUCGGGUUGUAAGCUUACUUUGGCAGAAAGAAACGGCUGGGAUAAUACCCCGUGCAACUGACGAAGCACCUGCAGAAUAAGCACCGGCUAACUACGUGCCAGCAGCCGCGGUAAUACGUAGGGUGCAGCGUUAAUCGGAAUUACUGGGCGUAAAGCGUACGCAGGCGGUUCCGGAAAGAAGGUGAAGAAAUCCCAGAGCUUAACUUUUGGAACUGCAUUUUUAACUACCGAGCUAGAGUGUGUCAGAGGGAGGUGGAAUUCCGCGUGUAGCAGUGAAAUGCGUAGAUAUGCGGAGGAACACCGAUGGCGAAGGCAACCUCCUGGGAUAACACUGACGCUCAUGCACGAAAAGCGUGGGAGCAAACAGGAUUAGAUACCCUGGUAGUCCACGCCCUAAACGAUGUCAACUAGCUGUUGGGGCCUUCGGGCCUUGGUAGCGCAGCUAACGCGUGAAGUUGACCGCCUGGGAAGCCCGGUCGCAAGAUUAAAACUCAAAGAUUGACGGGGACCCGCACAAGCGGUGGAUGAUGUGGAUUAAUUCGAUGCAACGCGAAAAACCUUACCUACCCUUGACAUGUCUGGAAUCCCGAAGAGAUUUGGGAGUGCUCGCAAGAGAACCGGAACACAGGUGCUGCAUGGCUGUCGUCAGCUCGUGUCGUGAGAUGUUGGGUUAAGUCCGCAACGAGCGCAACACUUAAUCAUUAGUUGCUACGAAAGGGGCACUCUAAUGAGACUGCCGGUAUUAAACCGGAGGAAGGUGGGGAUGACGUCAAGUCCUCAUGGCCUGCCAUGGGUAGGGCUUCACACGUCAUACAAUGGUCGGGACAACAAGAGGUCAUACCAACCCGCGAGAGGCCAAUCGAAACGAUCACGUAGUCGGAUCGCAGUCUGCAACUCGACUGCGUGAGAGUCAAGAUCGCUAGUAGUCGCGGAUCAGCAUGUCGCGGUGAAUACGUUCCCGGGUCUUGUACACACCGCCCGUCACACCAUGGGAGUAGGUUUGCCAGAAGUAGUUAGCUAACCGUAAGGAGGGCGAUUACCACGGUAGGAUUCAUGACUGGGGUGAAGUCGUAACAAGGUAGCUCUGUUA